UAGGAAACAAAAUGGUGCAUUUUCGAAUCUUGAAAAUUGGGAUAUCUCGGACAUAUAUCCCAGAAACAUUUGGCAAAUAUCGGUAUCCGAGAUGUAUUUGAUGUAGACAUGACAUGCGAUCUUAAGUAUUUGUGCUUUGUAGCCUUCUCUUCAACACUUCUCAGAGUGUAUGAGCCUAUUUAAACAUACUAGUAACUCUCUCAAGUCUCAACACAUGAGUCCAUGUCUAAUUUUGGAAAGUGAACCUAUAAAGGUGUCUCCAACUGGGCUAAUUUUUUCAAAAAUGUGAUUGAUUUACCCAUGGGAUAAGGCUUGUUACCAUACGGUACAUGUUGUGCUAGUGAAGUGGCAACAUGGUAAAAUGUUACAUAACCCCAGUAUGAUACAUGUCCCUCUGUGCCAGUGCCAGUGAAUGUUGAACCAGCCCACCAGCACAGACUGAUAUGAGCCAACUUGGAUCUGUUUUUGUUGCCACAAGCCUCCACAGCUUUGCAUGUGGUUGUGCACGUGUCUGAAAUGGCUUAACAUGGUAUGUAUCGUACAAGCCCGUCAUUGGUAUGAGCAUAGCUUCUGGUACCUAUAUUCUUGAAUUUACCACCAGCAAUAAGCUGAAUCUAUCCUACAAGUCAUUCUACCACCGG
This 641-nucleotide long non-coding RNA is filed under the name Phoenix dactylifera (date palm). Its description in RNAcentral is "long non-coding RNA (PDAC_LNC020131)". Lineage: Eukaryota; Viridiplantae; Streptophyta; Magnoliopsida; Arecales; Arecaceae. The record is from RNAcentral.